RNAcentral lists this ribosomal RNA (497 nucleotides) under uncultured bacterium. RNAcentral's name for it is "partial 16S ribosomal RNA". It matches the Rfam family "Bacterial small subunit ribosomal RNA", at positions 28 to 507 of the family's 1533-position model. The record is from RNAcentral.
GAUGAACGCUGGCGGCGUGCCUAAUACAUGCAAGUCGAGCGAACAGACGAGGAGCUUGCUCCUCUGACGUUAGCGGCGGACGGGUGAGUAACACGUGGAUAACCUACCUAUAAGACUGGGAUAACUUCGGGAAACCGGAUCUAAUACCGGAUAAUAUAUUGAACCACAUGGUUCAAUAGUAAACGAGGGUUUUGCUGUCACUUAUAGAUUGAUCCGCGCUGCCUUAGCUAGUUGUUAAGGUAACGGCUUACCAAGGCAACGAUGCGUAGCCGACCUGAGAGGGUGAUAGCACACACUGGAAUUGAGACACGGUCCAGACCACUACGGGAGGCAGCAGGAGGGAACCCUCCGGAAUGGGCGAAAGGCUGACGGAGCAACGCCGCGUGAGUGAUGAAGGUAUUCGGAUCGUAAAACUCUGUUAUUAGGGAAGAACAAAUGUGUAAGUAACUAUGCAGAUAUUGACGGUACCUAAUGAGAAAGCCACGGCUAACUACGUG